UCAAGCGUCUCUAAGGGCAUUUGGUGGAUGCCUUGGCGUUGAGAGGCGAUGAAGGACGUGACACGCUGCGAUAAGCCAUGGGGAGCUGCGAGUAAGCUUUGAUCCGUGGAUUUCCGAAUGGGGAAACCCGGCCAUUUAGGUCAUCCCGCAAGGGAAGCAAACCUGGGGAACUGAAAUAUCUAAGUACCCAGAGGAAAGGACAUCAACCGAGACUCCGUUAGUAGUGACGAGCGAACGCGGACCAGGCCAGUGGCUUGAUAGAAGAUAACCAGAAGCGUCUGGAAAGGCGCGCCAUAGUGGGUGAUAGCCCCGUAUGGGUAAUGCUUUCUUCAAGUCCUUGAGUAGGGCGGGACACGUGAAAUCCUGUCUGAACAUGGGGGGACCACCCUCCAAGCCUAAGUACUCCUCAACGACCGAUAGCGAACCAGUACCGUGAGGGAAAGGUGAAAAGCACCCCGAUGAGGGGAGUGAAAUAGACCUGAAACCGAAUGCCUACAAUCAGUCGGAGCCACAUUAAGUGGUGACGGCGUACCUUUUGUAUAAUGGGUCAGCGAGUUACUUUGACGAGCAAGCCUAAGCCGUUAGGCGUAAGCGAAGCGAAAGCGAGUCUGAAUAGGGCGUUUAGUUCGUUUGAGUAGACCCGAAACCGGGUGAUCUAGCCAUGGGCAGGUUGAAGGUACGGUAACACGUACUGAAGGACCGAACCCACGUCUGUUGAAAAAGACGGGGAUGACCUGUGGCUAGGGGUGAAAGGCCAAUCAAACCCGGAGAUAGCUGGUUCUCUGCGAAAACUAUUUAGGUAGUGCGUCGUGUAUUACCGUCGGGGGUAGAGCACUGGAUGGGCUAGGGGGGCGCGAGCCUUACCAAACCUAACCAAACUCCGAAUACCGGCGAGUACAGCACGGCAGACAGACUAUGGGUGCUAAGGUCCAUAGUCGAGAGGGAAACAGCCCAGACCUCCAGCUAAGGUCCCUAAAUUGUGGCUAAGUGGGAAAGGAUGUGGGAAGGCCAAGACAGCCAGGAGGUUGGCUUAGAAGCAGCCAUCCUUUAAAGAAAGCGUAACAGCUCACUGGUCUAGACAAGCCGGCCUGCGCCGAAGAUGUAACGGGGCUAAAGCCACAUACCGAAGCUGAGGACGUGAUUUAUCACGUGGUAGCAGAGCGUUCUGUAGGCCUGCGAAGCGUAAUCGUGAGAUUGCGUGGAGGUAUCAGAAGUGAGAAUGCUGACAUGAGUAGCGAUAAAGAGUGUGAGAAACACUCUCGCCGUAAGCCCAAGGGUUCCUGCGCAAGGCUAAUCCGCGCAGGGUGAGUCGGCCCCUAAGACGAGGGCGAAAGCCGUAGUCGAUGGGAAUCAGGUUAAUAUUCCUGAACCUGUUGGUAGUGACGGAUGACGUAAGUUGUACAUGCUUAACGGAUUGUGUGUGCAGCGAAGUUGUCCCAGGAAAUAGCUCCAACAUUAAGACCGUACCCCAAACCGACACAGGUGGGCAGGUAGAGCAUACCGAGGCGCUUGAGAGAACGAUGUUGAAGGAACUCGGCAAAUUGCCCCCGUAACUUCGGGAGAAGGGGGACCUCCAUUUAGGCAACUAGGUGGAGGUGGCACAGACCAGGGGGUGGCGACUGUUUAUUAAAAACACAGGGCUCUGCGAAGUAGAUAAUACGACGUAUAGGGUCUGACGCCUGCCCGGUGCCGGAAGGUUAAGAGGAGGUGUGAGAGCUCCGAAUUGAAGCCCCGGUAAACGGCGGCCGUAACUAUAACGGUCCUAAGGUAGCGAAAUUCCUUGUCGGGU
This 1789-nucleotide ribosomal RNA is filed under the name marine metagenome. RNAcentral describes it as "bacterial LSU rRNA". It matches the Rfam family "Bacterial large subunit ribosomal RNA", at positions 1 to 1977 of the family's 2925-position model. The record is from RNAcentral.